GAUGAACGCUGGCGGCGUGCCUAAUACAUGCAAGUCGAGCGAACAGACGAGGAGCUUGCUCCUCUGACGUUAGCGGCGGACGGGUGAGUAACACGUGGAUAACCUACCUAUAAGACUGGGAUAACUUCGGGAAACCGGAGCUAAUACCGGAUAAUAUAUUGAACCGCAUGGUUCUAUAGUGAAAGACGGUUUUGCUAUCACUUAUAGAUGGAUCCGCGCCGCAUUAGCUAGUUGGUAAGGUAACGGCUUACCAAGGCAACGAUGCGUAGCCGACCUGAGAGGGUGAUCGGCCACACUGGAACUGAGACACGGUCCAGACUCCUACGGGAGGCAGCAGUAGGGAAUCUUCCGCAAUGGGCGAAAGCCUGACGGAGCAACGCCGCGUGAGUGAUGAAGGUUUUCGGAUCGUAAAACUCUGUUAUUAGGGAAGAACAAAUGUGUAAGUAACUGUGCACGUCUUGACGGUACCUAAUCAGAAAGCCACGGCUAACUACGUG
Molecule: ribosomal RNA, 497 nt
Filed under: uncultured bacterium
Lineage: Bacteria
Description: partial 16S ribosomal RNA
Rfam family: Bacterial small subunit ribosomal RNA
Source: RNAcentral